AGUGAACGCUGGCGGUAGGCCUAACACAUGCAAGUCGAACGGCAGCACAGGAGAGCUUGCUCUCUGGGUGGCGAGUGGCAGACGGGUGAGGAAUACAUCGGAAUCUACUCUGUCGUGGGGGAUAACGUAGGGAAACUUACGCUAAUACCGCAUACGACCUACGGGUGAAAGCAGGGGACCUUCGGGCCUUGCGCGAUUGAAUGAGCCGACGUCGGAUUAGCUAGUUGGCGGGGUAAAGGCCCACCAAGGCGACGAUCCGUAGCUGGUCUGAGAGGAUGAUCGGCCGAACUGGAACUGAGACACGGUCCAGACUGCUACGGGCGGCAGCAGUGGGGAAUAUUGGACAAUGGGCGCAAGCGUGAUCCAGCCAUUCCUCGUGGGUGAAGAAGGCCUUCGGGUUGUAAAGCCCUUUUGUUGGGAAAGAAAUCCAGCUGGCUAAUACCCGGUUGGGAUGACGGUACCCAAAGAAUAAGCACCGGCUAACUUCGUGCCAGCCGCCGCGGUAA
This 506-nucleotide ribosomal RNA is filed under the name uncultured bacterium. RNAcentral's name for it is "partial 16S ribosomal RNA". It matches the Rfam family "Bacterial small subunit ribosomal RNA", at positions 29 to 523 of the family's 1533-position model. The record is from RNAcentral.